This 453-nucleotide long non-coding RNA is filed under the name Homo sapiens (human). RNAcentral describes it as "HSALNT0126464". Lineage: Eukaryota; Metazoa; Chordata; Mammalia; Primates; Hominidae. The record is from RNAcentral.
CCCCAGCCUGCGCUGCUCCAGCUCCACGUGCGCCCGGGGAUGCAAUGCAGCCCUGCAGACAAGCGUCUCCGGCAGGACGUGGGCCGCGGGUCUCGGAGCCUCCUUCACUUAGAUCCCAUGAACAGCAGUACCACCUGCCAACGCGUCCUCAUAUGUAAAAUGGGCAUAAACUCGAACCUCCCUCCUAAGGCUGUGAGUUCAGUGAGCAUUUAAUGGGCACUUUAGAACAACGCCUAAAGGUUUGAUAAAUUAUCCCUUGCAAAUAGCACUGCAUUAAAUUAGCCACUCUGUGAGGUAGGUACCGCUAUUUCAAUUUUUCAGAUUAGGAAAUUGGAGCUUGGAAAGUUUCAGAUACAUUUCCUUUUUUUUUUUUUUUUUUUUUUGAUCCAGGAACUAUUACACAGGCUGGAGUGCAGUGGCGCGAUCUCGUGUCACUACAACCUCUGCAUUUCC